UGGCUCAGGAUGAACGCUGGCGGCGUGCCUAACACAUGCAAGUCGAGCGGACGAAUACUAAUGAAGCCUUCGGGAGGAUUUAGUAUGAGUUAGCGGCGGACGGGUGAGUAACGCGUGGGCAACCUGCCCUAUACAGGAGGAUAACAACGAGAAAUCGUUGCUAAUACUGCAUAAGACCCCAGUAAGGCAUCUUACUGAGGUAAAAACUCCGGUGGUAUAGGAUGGGCCCGCGUCUGAUUAGCUAGUUGGUAAGGUAAUGGCUUACCAAGGCGACGAUCAGUAGCCGACCUGAGAGGGUGAUCGGCCACAUUGGGACUGAGACACGGCCCAAACUCCUACGGGAGGCAGCAGUGGGGAAUAUUGCACAAUGGGGGAAACCCUGAUGCAGCAACGCCGCCUGAAGGAAGAAUGUCUUCGGAUUGUAAACUUCUAUCAGCAGGGAAGAUAAUGACGGUACCUGACUAAGAAGCCCCGGCUAACUACGUGCCAGCAGCCGCGGUAAUACGUAGGGGGCAAGCGUUAUCCGGAAUUACUGGGUGUAAAGGGUGCGUAGGCGGCUAUGCAAGUCAGAUGUGAAAGCCCAGGGCUCAACCCUGGGACUGCAUUUGAAACUGUGUAGCUAGAGUGCAGGAGAGGUAAGUGGAAUUCCUAGUGUAGCGGUGAAAUGCGUAGAUAUUAGGAGGAACACCAGUGGCGAAGGCGGCUUACUGGACUGUAACUGACGCUGAGGCACGAAAGCGUGGGGAGCGAACAGGAUUAGAUACCCUGGUAGUCCACGCCGUAAACGAUGAGUGCUAGGUGUCGGGGGUCGACAGACCUUCGGUGCCGAAGUUAACACAUUAAGCACUCCACCUGGGGAGUACGAUCGCAAGAUUGAAACUCAAAGGAAUUGACGGGGGCCCGCACAAGCAGUGGAGCAUGUGGUUUAAUUCGAAGCAACGCGAAGAACCUUACCAAGUCUUGACAUCCCUCUGACCGGUCCGUAACGGGACCUUCUCUUCGGAGCAGAGGUGACAGGUGGUGCAUGGUUGUCGUCAACUCGUGUCGUGAGAUGUUGGGUUAAGUCCCGCAACGACCGCAACCCUUAUCUUUAAUAGCCAGCAAUUCGGUUGGGGACUCUAGAGAGACUGCCGGGGAUAACUCGGAGGAAGGUGGGGAUGACGUCAAAUCAUCAUGCCCCUUAUGACUUGGGCUACACACGUGCUACAAUGGUGACGACAAAGGGAAGCGAAAGAGUGAUCUGGAGCCAACCCCAAAAAAGUCAUCUCAGUUCGGAUUGUAGUCUGCAACUCGACUACAUGAAGCUGGAAUUGCUAGUAAUCGCGAAUCAGAAUGUCGCGGUGAAUACGUUCCCGGGCCUUGUACACACCGCCCGUCACACCAUGGGAGUCGGAAGCGCCCGAAGCCGGUGACUCAACCGCAAGGAGAGAGCCGUCGAAGGUGAAGUCGAUGACUGGGGUGAAGUCGUAACAG
Molecule: ribosomal RNA, 1473 nt
Filed under: Natranaerovirga pectinivora
Lineage: Bacteria; Bacillati; Bacillota; Clostridia; Lachnospirales; Natranaerovirgaceae
Description: bacterial SSU rRNA
Rfam family: Bacterial small subunit ribosomal RNA
Source: RNAcentral